CGUUAGCGGCGGACGGGUGAGUAACACGUGGGUAACCUACCUAUAAGACUGGGAUAACUUCGGGAAACCGGAGCUAAUACCGGAUAAUAUUUCGAACCGCAUGGUUCGAUAGUGAAAGAUGGUUCUGCUAUCACUUAUAGAUGGACCCGCGCCGUAUUAGCUAGUUGGUAAGGUAACGGCUUACCAAGGCGACGAUACGUAGCCGACCUGAGAGGGUGAUCGGCCACACUGGAACUGAGACACGGUCCAGACUCCUACGGGAGGCAGCAGCU
RNAcentral lists this ribosomal RNA (272 nucleotides) under uncultured Staphylococcus sp. RNAcentral describes it as "partial 16S ribosomal RNA". It matches the Rfam family "Bacterial small subunit ribosomal RNA", at positions 90 to 355 of the family's 1533-position model. The record is from RNAcentral. Lineage: Bacteria; Bacillati; Bacillota; Bacilli; Caryophanales; Staphylococcaceae.